Molecule: long non-coding RNA, 1091 nt
Filed under: Homo sapiens (human)
Lineage: Eukaryota; Metazoa; Chordata; Mammalia; Primates; Hominidae
Description: HSALNT0183769
Source: RNAcentral
CCUCACGGGGAGAUCAGAUGGCACGGCUCUGUGGAGCACUCAGCAAGGUGCAGUUCUCCAAUCAGAAUCAAGACACCCAGGACACUCCGCCCGGGAAGCAGCCACCGAACCACCAUGAUGGGAGACAGAGCGGGUGCCCCUCUCAACUUCCCUCGCUGCUGAGAAGUGGAUAAAGGGGUCUCCCUGAACCCCCUGAGCUGCCCCAGGUGCCUGCCUUUUCCCCCUCCCCUCGAGCUCCCCCUCCUCGAGUUGAGCCUGGCUAGAGAGACACCUGCAGGUGAGACAGGUCUAAAAGAAGGCACUGAGGGGCUCGCCCUCCCAGCUCAAGGUUGUCACCCCCGGGGCAGGGCAGGUGGCUGCCACUCUUACUCAAACAGGAGUGUAGGGAGGGGCAGCCCUUGGGGGUGGGAGGAGUCAGCUAGGCUUCCUUCUCCUCCCUUCCUGUGCCUCCUGCCCUCACCCCGCUUGGCACAUUUUUGAGAUCUGUAUCUACCCUAAGGUUUGCGCAAAGACCUCAUAUGACUGCAUCUGGCUAAACUGACAACAGAGGAAUGAAAACAAUCGAGAAACACAUGGUCCUAGAGAGAAAAUGCAGGGGCUGACCCCAAGGCUGGGAAGUGAGCAUCACCUCUCCACACCAGUUUCUGUGGCCUCUGGGGAAAAGACAGAAUAAAAACUAGACUACAGGAGGUGGGGAGGGUGAACACGUACAAAUCAUAGUGAGAAAGAACCAGUAAGACCUGGUGUUUGCCAGCACAACAGGAUUACAAGCAACAAUAAUGUAUCAUACAUUCUUAAACCACUAUGAGUAUAAUUGGAUUGUUGGAACACAAAGGACAAAUGUUUGAGGGGUGGAUACCCCUUUACCCUGAUGCGAUUAUUACACACUGCAUGCCUAUAUCAAAAUAUCUCACGUACCCCAUACCUACAAACGUAUGUACCAUGUACCCACAAAAAUUACAAAUACAAAAAUACAAAAAAAAUUAGUCUAAAAACUAGACUCUACACUUAAGGCUGGGCAAUUUCACAAAGCCCUUGAAGGGCAGGAGUCUCUUCCAGGCUCCAGAGGAAUCCAGAGGAUGAAGCAGGAC